GGAAGUAAAAGUUGUAACAAGGUUUCCGUAGGUGAACCUGCGGAAGGAUCAUUAUUGAAUGAAACACUUCUGGCUUUAUGCUGUUGUGCUGGCCCUUUGGGCAAUGUGCACACGGCUCUGGUCACUUGUUUCUUCUGUUCCACCUGUGCACUGCCUGUAGACACGCUGUGUCUAUGAUAUUUGUUAACACACAACAAUGUUAGUUGGCAUGUUAUACAUAAUAACAAAAUAUACAACUUUCAACAACGGAUCUCUUGGCUCUC
Molecule: unclassified non-coding RNA, 263 nt
Filed under: plant metagenome
Description: partial contains small subunit ribosomal RNA, internal transcribed spacer 1, and 5.8S ribosomal RNA
Rfam family: Eukaryotic small subunit ribosomal RNA (bases 1-54)
Source: RNAcentral